AUCACGUAUAACUUAGUUAUAGAUUUAUUUAGCUUUAUUCUUGUUAAAUCUAUCCUUUAUAUAUAACUAAGUUAUACAUGAUCCAAUGUGUAUGAAAUUUUUACCAUAGUUCAAGCAUACAAUAGUGAGCCCACCAUAAAAAUUUUACCAUAGUUGGACCAUAUGAACUACAUAUAUGAAUUAUUCAAAUUAAUUAAAGAAAAACAUAGAUUUAAAGCUACAACAAAAACUUUAUAUUCACCGUGUAGAUCUACUCAUCUAGAGUCCAAUAAAAUUGAAUAUUUUAUUUUAUUAUUUUUCUAUGGUUUAUUAUAAAUUUUCAAAUAUUCAGCAGAAAUAAAUAAAAAAAGAAAAAAAACAAAACCACCCUCUAAAAACCACUCGAGGGGGUUAUUUGACCGGUUUUGAAAGUUCAGGGGGUAGAAUCUCCGGUAUUAUAGUUUGAGGGAUGAAGUAUUCCAUCCUAGAUAAUUUGAGGGGUUAUGUAGACUUUUUCCUAUGAUUCAGAAUCAAAUGAAGUUAAAAGCCCAUCACCAUAGAGCCUCUUCAUGUGAUUCUCACUUAUAUGACCCAAACGACAAUGCCACAUAUAGGUAGGACUUAACUCAUUAAGCCGAGGCCUUUUAGCACUACCAUUACACAUAGGUGCAUCAUCAAGAUUUAAAAUAAAUAGACCACUUACAAUGGAUGCAAAAGCCACAAAUAUGUCAUUCUUAGAGAUCACACAAUCUUUGUCUUUACUCGCAAAUGAAUAACCAUCCUUCAUCAAACAUGAAGGUGACACAAUGUUUUGACUUAAACUAGGAACAAAAUAAUAAUGGAUAAUUAUUCAGUUUCAAAAUAAAUCCUAAUGGUAGGUGGAGUUGCAUUGUCCUGACGUUCAACGUAGCAACUCUUGCAUUAUUGCCCACACGGAAAUCAACUUCUCUCUUUUCCACGCUUCUACUUCUUAUCAUUUCCUGCACUGUAUUGCAAAUAUGAGCAACAGAUUUAGUAUCUAAUACUCAAGAAUUAAUAUAAGAGUUAGC
This 1028-nucleotide long non-coding RNA is filed under the name Sorghum bicolor (sorghum). RNAcentral describes it as "long non-coding RNA (SBIC_LNC001445)". The record is from RNAcentral. Lineage: Eukaryota; Viridiplantae; Streptophyta; Magnoliopsida; Poales; Poaceae.